Long non-coding RNA from Cebus imitator (Panamanian white-faced capuchin), 762 nucleotides. RefSeq lists it as uncharacterized. Lineage: Eukaryota; Metazoa; Chordata; Mammalia; Primates; Cebidae. The transcript is spliced from 6 exons. The record is from RefSeq and is a predicted model, not a curated record.
UGAUUCGUGCGUCACCAGCCCGCGCCGAAGUCGGAAGUGUGGCUCAAGGCGCUGAUUCUUCUGGAGUCCUGGACCUGAGCAAGCGCUGUCUUAUCAAUCCGCGCCCAAGCAGGAAGUGCCGCUCAGGGCGAGCCCCAGUCUCAGUCUCGAGUUUUGUGGCGGAGGCCGGCUCACGUCAUCAUUAGGCGCCAACGCAGGAAGUGACGACAGUCCUCGCGCGCGCCUGUCGCUGUUCGCUGUUUUUUCUCAGGCUCCUGGACCGGUGGCGGCAGCGGUGGCAGAGGCGGCAGCGGUGGCAGCGGCGGCAGCGGCGGCGGCGACGUAGGGUGUUUUAACUCAAAUGGGUGAUGAAAAGGACUCUUGGAAAGUGAAAACUUUAGAUGAAAUUCUUCAGGAAAAGAAACGAAGGAAGGAACAAGAGGAGAAAGCAGAGAUAAAACGCUUAAAAAAUAACAACGCUUCUUCGGUGAAGUUCUUUUGUACUUCCAAAUGUCGCAGUCUGAUGACCGGGAUUCCAAGCGGGAUUCCCUUGAGGAGGGGGAGCUGAGAGACCACCGCAUGGAGAUCACGAUAAGGAACUCCCCAUAUAGAAGAGAAGACUCUAUGGAAGACAGAGGAGAAGAAGAUGAUUCUUUGGCCAUCAAACCACCCCAGCAAAUGUCUCGGAAAGAAAAAGCUCAUCACAGAAAAGAUGAAAAGAGAAAAGAGAAACGUAGGCAUCGUAGCCAUUCAGCAGAAGGGGGGAAGCAUGCUAGAGUGAAA